Molecule: ribosomal RNA, 301 nt
Filed under: uncultured bacterium
Lineage: Bacteria
Description: partial 16S ribosomal RNA
Rfam family: Bacterial small subunit ribosomal RNA
Source: RNAcentral
CAGUAGCCGCGGUAAAACGGAGGGUGCAAGCGUUAAUCGGAAUUACUGGGCGUAAAGCGUGCGUAGGCGGCUUUUUAAGUCGGAUGUGAAAUCCCUGAGCUUAACUUAGGAAUUGCAUUCGAUACUGGGAAGCUAGAGUAUGGGAGAGGAUGGUAGAAUUCCAGGUGUAGCGGUGAAAUGCGUAGAGAUCUGGAGGAAUACCGAUGGCGAAGGCAGCCAUCUGGCCUAAUACUGACGCUGAGGUACGAAAGCAUGGGGAGCAAACAGGAUUAGAUACCCCCGUAGUCCCUGUCUCUUAUAC